RNAcentral lists this ribosomal RNA (496 nucleotides) under uncultured bacterium. Its description in RNAcentral is "partial 16S ribosomal RNA". It matches the Rfam family "Bacterial small subunit ribosomal RNA", at positions 28 to 506 of the family's 1533-position model. The record is from RNAcentral.
GACGAACGCUGGCGGCGUGCCUAAUACAUGCCAGUUGAGCGAUGAAGAUUGGUGCUUGCACCAAUUUGAAGAGCAGCGAACGGGUGAGUAACGCGCGGGGAAUCUGCCUUUGAGCGGGGGACAACAUUUGGAAACGAAUGCUAAUACCGCAUAACAACUUUAAACAUAAGUUUUAAGUUUGAAAGAUGCAAUUGCAUCACUCAAAGAUGAUCCCGCGUUGUAUUAGCUAGUUGGUGAGGUAAAGGCUCACCAAGGCGAUGAUACAUAGCCGACCUGAGAGGGUGAUCGGCCACAUUGGGACUGAGACACGGCCCAAACUCCUACGGGAGGCAGCAGUAGGGAAUCUUCGGCAAUGGACGAAAGUCUGACCGAGCAACGCCGCGUGAGUGAAGAAGGUUUUCGGAUCGUAAAACUCUGUUGGUAGAGAAGAACGUUGGUGAGAGUGGAAAGCUCAUCAAGUGACGGUAACUACCCAGAAAGGGACGGCUAACUACGU